RNAcentral lists this ribosomal RNA (253 nucleotides) under uncultured bacterium. RNAcentral describes it as "partial 16S ribosomal RNA". It matches the Rfam family "Bacterial small subunit ribosomal RNA", at positions 524 to 776 of the family's 1533-position model. The record is from RNAcentral.
UACGGAGGGAGCUAGCGUUGUUCGGAAUUACUGGGCGUAAAGCGCACGUAGGCGGCUUGGCAAGUCGGAUGUGAAAUCCCUCGGCUCAACCAAGGAAGUGCAUCCGAAACUGCUGAGCUUGAGUACUUAAGAGGAUCGCGGAAUUCCCGGUGUAGAGGUGAAAUUCGUAGAUAUCGGGAGGAACACCAGUGGCGAAGGCGGCGAUCUGGGAAGAUACUGACGCUGAGGUGCGAAAGCGUGGGGAGCAAACAGG